Molecule: long non-coding RNA, 2586 nt
Filed under: Sus scrofa (pig)
Lineage: Eukaryota; Metazoa; Chordata; Mammalia; Artiodactyla; Suidae
Description: lncRNA (ENSSSCG00055009166.1)
Source: RNAcentral
UCUGUAGCGGUUUCCUUCCGAGCAGGUGGUGACUGCUCCUUGGAGAGCAAGGAGGAGGCCUGGGCCGCCCGGCUGCGGUCGGGCGCGCACCACCCGAAGGUGAGGCAUUUGGCCCCCAGACGGUCCUUCGGAGAGCCCAGCUGAGCGAGAAGUUAUCUUACAGCUCUGCCCGCUGCACCUGCUGGAGGGAGCGAGCGCCCCACCCUUUCCGCGGUGUGGAGCGAGACUCAGCGCCAGAUAACGCGUGGUCGGGCCGAGCAAAUGUUUGAUGAAUGAAAGAAUGCCUCACUCGUGGAGUGCAGAGGAGUCCGACGGAAGUGCAAGCGCCUUGCCGACUGCGUAGCGUUGUCAAGAUGAGCGUUGUCAGGCGUCCCUCUUCCCUCAGUCCCCCCGCCUCCGGAGGAAGUGGGGGUGCGGCUUGAGUGAGGAGUCACAGGCUGAGCCUAGCGAAACAGGAGGCGAAUUGCCGGGACGAGGGAGGGGAGCCAUCCUCCCGGAACUGUGGAAGGGUUUUUUUACUUUUUCAAGAGGGCGAAUUUAGUAGCGACUCCCUUUUAGGACUCAGUCUUGCUUGUGGCUUGGUGCCUGGGAGAGCUGGUGUUGGCUGUUAAUCACUGUCCAUUACCGUCGUCAAGAAACGUUGGCCUGUGUGUCAGAUAAACAUGAUUACUCUUUAUGCAGCUUUUCCUAGAAAUGUUAUCCUGGAAAGUAAAUUCACGUAAAAACUCAUCAGGUUGAACGUAGUUCUCUAGGCAAAGAAAUUUUAAAAUAAAAGGACCAGAUCCUCAGAAAUCUGUCUUGAACCUGGCCUGGUGCAUAGUGUGAGAAUGAGAUAAAAGCAGUAAGGAUGAAAGGAAGCAGAUUCCACAGUACUGUCUCUGGACCCUGGACACCGUACCUCCUCUGGAAGCGUCAGUGUUUUUUGUUUAGAGUCAGUGAUAUUUUAAGACUGGAGGAAGAUGAGACCCAGAGAAAUUAAAUGACUUACCCAGGGUCAGAAGAGCAAGUGAAAAGGAAGCCUGGACGCAGCCCCAAGUCUUCAAAUAGAGCACGCUUGCUUCAUAGCACACUGACCCUCAGUCUUCUGGAGAAGUGAGUUGGGGCUCAAAUUUUAAUCUACCUUUGGAUUCCUUAAUUUGGAAACUGGAGUGGAUUCAAAACGAGACUCCAGGAAUUGAGGUAGGUACAGGUUGGAGAAAACCAGGACCGAGGCUGUGCCAGGGUGACACUGUCCUGGCUGAUCUGGCUCCGUAGACCAUGAGGCAGGAGGAAGGAGAGUGGAGUAUCUGACUGACCUAGAGGGAUGGCAAAGCGUGGGCUUCUGGGCUGGCAAACUAGCUAUUGAAACUAAGGGUCUGGGGUGGGCAGAAGUGGAAGCUUGGGGUCAGGGUAUCUGGAUGAGGGUCCAAGGAGUGGAUGAAAAAACAUGUCCAGCUCAAGGGGCCAGAAUGAUACCAGAGAGGUGUGAUUCCAUCCGUCAGUAUUGAGGGAAGUAUUUGGUAUGUGUUUUCAUGAUAUAUGUUAUAACGCCCCAACCUGGACUUCCCAUCAUGGCUCAGGGGUAACGAACUCAACUAGUAUCCGUGAGGACACAGGUUCAAUCCCUGGCCCUGCUCAAUGGGUUAAGGAUCUGGCGUUGCCAUGAUGGCUCAGAUCUGGCAUUGCUGUGCUUUGUGGUGUAGGCUGGCAGCUACAGCUCCGAUUCGACCCCUACCCUGGGAACUUCCAUAUGCUGCAGGUACAGCCCUUAAAAUAAUGAUAGUAAUAAUAAUGCCCCAACCUGACUUUUUUCUUCACUCUUAUAUGUCCCUGUGUUGCUUAUUUAAAAUUAUAGAAUUCAAAAAGGCACCAUCAGAGCAUGACUCUGGGUUCCAAGUCAGAAGACUCAUCCUCUGUCUUGUUUUGAAAUGUAGGUGAUGAGGGCUGAUAUAGCCCAGCAGGUGUGUUCUUGUCCAAGCCAAGAUGGGACUCUGCAGGGGCCACUGGCUGGGGCUGCAGCCCAGGCAGCAACAGUGGCCCCUGGAGAGUCCCUCAGUUCCUAAAGAAAUUCUUCCACGUGUGCAAUGGGGAAGGAUGCGGCCCUUUCCUUGGAUCCUUCAUCAUUUUAUAGACUCUCAUCUAAUUUUAAGUGUGUAAAGGGAAUGGCAGCUGGUUUCUGAAUUUGCAAGGAAAAGUGCUAAAAGCAAAUAAAGCAGUGGGGAAUUUGUCUUGAAGUUCAUGGACUCAACUAGGCAUUGAUGUGUGAUAGAGGGACUAAUAUUGGUUCUGGGAACCCUCUACUGGUAUGUUAGAGUGAUGGUUGGCCAUUUUUUAAAAAAAAUUCCAAGAAUAACUGAAGUUCCUGUCAUGGCUCAGUGGAAAUGAAUCUGACUGGCAUCCGUGAGGACUCAGGUUCGAUCCCGGCCUCACUCAGUGGAUUAAGGAUCUGGCUUUGCGGUGAUCUGUGGUGUAGGGCACAGACGCGGCUUGGAUCCCGUGUUGCUAUGACUUCAGCAUAGGCUGGCAGCUACAGCUCGCAUUCUACCCCCAGCCUGAGAACUUCCAUAUGCUGCGGGUGCGGCCCUAAAAAGACAAAAGAAAAAAAAA